This 321-nucleotide RNase P RNA is filed under the name pig gut metagenome. RNAcentral's name for it is "Bacterial RNase P class B". It matches the Rfam family "Bacterial RNase P class B". Rfam says of the family: Ribonuclease P (RNase P) is a ubiquitous endoribonuclease, found in archaea, bacteria and eukarya as well as chloroplasts and mitochondria. Its best characterised activity is the generation of mature 5'-ends of tRNAs by cleaving the 5'-leader elements of precursor-tRNAs. The record is from RNAcentral.
AAGCAAUCGCUGGUCACUUGUUGAUUAGAGGAAAGUCCAUGCUCGCACAUUCUGAGAUGAAUGUAGUGUUUAAGUUAGUAUAAAAAAUAAAGCUAAGUACUUUGGAGAAAGUAACGGCGAAGGGAAGUCUAAAAGUUUACUCAUGAUGUACCUUUGUAACGUGCCACAGUGACGAACAGCCCGAAAGGGUGAGAUGAAACGUGGUAAACCCCUUAAGCGAGAAACUCAAAUUUUGGUAGAGGAAAUCGAUUAAAAGAAAUGAAUUUUAAUUGGUAAGUGAAAACUUAGAUAAAUGGUUGCAUAAACAUAACAUGGCUUAUG